This 497-nucleotide ribosomal RNA is filed under the name uncultured bacterium. RNAcentral describes it as "partial 16S ribosomal RNA". It matches the Rfam family "Bacterial small subunit ribosomal RNA", at positions 28 to 507 of the family's 1533-position model. The record is from RNAcentral.
GAUGAACGCUGGCGGCGUGCCUAAUACAUGCAAGUCGAACGCAUAGCGAAAGGUGCUUGCACCUUUCAAGUGAGUGGCGAACGGGUGAGUAACACGUGGACAACCUGCCUCAAGGCUGGGGAUAACAUUUGGAAACAGAUGCUAAUACCGAAUAAAACUUAGUGUCGCAUGACACAAAGUUAAAAGGCGCUUCGGCGUCACCUAGAGAUGGAUCCGCGGUGCAUUAGGUAGUUGGUGGGGUAAAGGCCUACCAAGACAAUGAUGCAUAGCCGAGUUGAGAGACUGAUCGGCCACAUUGGGACUGAGACACGGCCCAAACUCCUACGGGAGGCUGCAGUAGGGAAUCUUCCACAAUGGGCGAAAGCCUGAUGGAGCAACGCCGCGUGUGUGAUGAAGGCUUUCGGGUCGUAAAGCACUGUUGUAUGGGAAGAACAGCUAGAAUAGGAAAUGAUUUUAGUUUGACGGUACCAUACCAGAAAGGGACGGCUAAAUACGUG